This 768-nucleotide ribosomal RNA is filed under the name uncultured bacterium. Its description in RNAcentral is "bacterial SSU rRNA". It matches the Rfam family "Bacterial small subunit ribosomal RNA", at positions 28 to 776 of the family's 1533-position model. The record is from RNAcentral.
GACGAACGCUGGCGGCGUGCCUAAUACAUGCAAGUCGAGCGAAGUUUUUCUGGUGCUUGCACUAGAAAAACUUAGCGGCGAACGGGUGAGUAACACGUAAAGAACCUGCCUCAUAGACUGGGACAACUAUUGGAAACGAUAGCUAAUACCGGAUAACAGCAUUAACUGCAUGGUUGAUGUUUAAAAGUUGGUUAUGCUAACACUAUGAGAUGGCUUUGCGCUGCAUUAGCUAGUUGGUGGGGUAAAGGCCUACCAAGGCGACGAUGCAUAGCCGACCUGAGAGGGUGAUCGGCCACACUGGGACUGAGACACGGCCCAGACUCCUACGGGAGGCAGCAGUAGGGAAUCUUCCGCAAUGGGCGAAAGCCUGACGGAGCAACGCCGCGUGAGUGAAGAAGGAUUUCGGUUCGUAAAGCUCUGUUGUUAGGGAAGAAUGAUUGUGUAGUAACUAUACACAGUAGAGACGGUACCUAACCAGAAAGCCACGGCUAACUACGUGCCAGCAGCCGCGGUAAUACGUAGGUGGCAAGCGUUGUCCGGAAUUAUUGGGCGUAAAGCGCGCGCAGGUGGUUUAAUAAGUCUGAUGUGAAAGCCCACGGCUCAACCGUGGAGGGUCAUUGGAAACUGUUAAACUUGAGUGCAGGAGAGAAAAGUGGAAUUCCUAGUGUAGCGGUGAAAUGCGUAGAGAUUAGGAGGAACACCAGUGGCGAAGGCGGCUUUUUGGCCUGUAACUGACGCUGAGGCGCGAAAGCGUGGGGAGCAAACAGG